This 961-nucleotide long non-coding RNA is filed under the name Rattus norvegicus (Norway rat). RNAcentral describes it as "long non-coding RNA NONRATT000472". The record is from RNAcentral. Lineage: Eukaryota; Metazoa; Chordata; Mammalia; Rodentia; Muridae.
GUAGACAUUGCGAGUCCCGAGUUCUGGAUCCUGGGGUGAGGAGCCUUGGACGCUGCUGCCUUACAGGUGUGUGUGUGUGUGUGUCACCUUCGGAGCCGACACCCUCGCCCCAAUCACGAGCGGGUCCCUAGGAAAUCCACGCCCUCGGAAUGUUCGGAGCCAGUCUCUGAACCUUUGGGUUCCGCCCCCUGGGCACGCUCGCGGCGCUCUAGGGCACGCCCACAAACAUCGGACCACGCCCCGAAGCCCUGGCCACGCCCACCCCACAGGAAUCCGAAGCGGCCAUGGGGACACCCAGCACCCUAGAGGAGGGCUCCUUGCCGCCUCAGGUUCCGGAAUGCGCGGUCGAGGUCCAGCCUCAAGGGGUCGUGCAGCCUCAGGGGCACCCCGAGAAUCCCCAAGAGCACAAGGAGCCCGAGGUCCCAGCGGAGCUUCCAAGCUGCCAAGAAGCUGGGCGGCAGGAGGAAGAGGAAGAAGUGGAAGAAGGUAGCAGCACCGAGAGCUGCCGCGAAGAGCCCGAGGCUACGCUGGCCGCACAGAUUCCAGCCACACCUUCCCCAUGCCUUCCUGGGGAAGAGCUGCGGGGGGCGGCGCGGCGGCUGCGAGGACAGCAGCUGGAGGCACUAACACGCGUGGCUCUGAUGGAGCAGCGGGUGAAGGAGUUACAGCGUCAGAAGAAGGAAUUGAGGAUCGAGAUGGAGGUGGAAGUGGCCCUGCUCCGGGGUGAGCUGGCGGGAGAACGAGUGGCCGCUCGGCGGGAGGAAGAGCAGCUGCGGGAGUUGCUGGGUCAGCGGGUAGAGUCCCAGCAGAGCAGCCAAGAACAGCGGGAACAGGAGCAGAGGCAGCUGAGCCAGGAGCGGGAUCAUGUGGAAAAUCUUCGCCAGAGACUUAGGGAGGCCCAAGGACAUCUUGAUUCACAGCCAGAGGACCAGAGAGAGAGGCUCUCACAAGGGGUACAAGA